GGUAAAAAAGCCCGACAUGGUAUUAUAUUACGAUUUACAUAGGAAGCUGGGUGAAAAUCCCACACAGGGACGCUACUGUGAUAACAAAUUAAGAUUAAACAAAGAACCACUGGUUUUUAGCCGGGAAGGUGUAAUCUUUUAUAUAUCUGUCAUAUGUAUAUAGUCAUAUACAACAGCUAUAUUGUAGUUUAAGUCAGGAUACAUCCAUACUUGCAUGAAUAUA
RNAcentral lists this non-coding RNA (223 nucleotides) under Johnsonella ignava. The record is from RNAcentral. Lineage: Bacteria; Bacillati; Bacillota; Clostridia; Lachnospirales; Lachnospiraceae. RNAcentral also lists the same sequence under 1 other name.